Oreochromis aureus is the source of this 240-nucleotide long non-coding RNA. The record is from Ensembl. Lineage: Eukaryota; Metazoa; Chordata; Actinopteri; Cichliformes; Cichlidae.
CAGGCAUGAAAACUGAGAAUUAGGUAGACUAGACAUUGCUGUCGCUCACGGUGAAAGAAUUUUGUCAAUACGACAUGUACUUUUCAUUUGGGAAGGAUUUGUUUGGGGCUGACUUUUCUGUUCAUUUUAAGCAGCAAAAGUGAGGUGCAUGUCUGUGUGCGUGUGUAUGGAGCCCCUGGCUCAGUCACUAUAGCAACCAGGCUCACACCUGCCUGCCUAACGAGCUCUCUCUCACUCUGC